GGUGUAUUAGUUCAAUGGUAGAACGUGGUAGUACGGUUACCAAAAUAUGAGUUCAAGUCUCGAAUACAUUU
This 71-nucleotide transfer RNA is filed under the name Esteya vermicola. RNAcentral describes it as "tRNA-Arg". It matches the Rfam family "tRNA". From Rfam's summary of the family: Transfer RNA (tRNA) molecules are approximately 80 nucleotides in length. Their secondary structure includes four short double-helical elements and three loops (D, anti-codon, and T loops). The record is from RNAcentral. Lineage: Eukaryota; Fungi; Ascomycota; Sordariomycetes; Ophiostomatales; Ophiostomataceae.